GCAGUCGAACGAACUCUGGUAUUGAUUGGUGCUUGCAUCAUGAUUUACAUUUGAGUGAGUGGCGAACUGGUGAGUAACACGUGGGAAACCUGCCCAGAAGCGGGGGAUAACACCUGGAAACAGAUGCUAAUACCGCAUAACAACUUGGACCGCAUGGUCCGAGUUUGAAAGAUGGCUUCGGCUAUCACUUUUGGAUGGUCCCGCGGCGUAUUAGCUAGAUGGUGGGGUAACGGCUCACCAUGGCAAUGAUACGUAGCCGACCUGAGAGGGUAAUCGGCCACAUUGGGACUGAGACACGGCCCAAACUCCUACGGGAGGCAGCAGUAGGGAAUCUUCCACAAUGGACGAAAGUCUGAUGGAGCAACGCCGCGUGAGUGAAGAAGGGUUUCGGCUCGUAAAACUCUGUUGUUAAAGAAGAACAUAUCUGAGAGUAACUGUUCAGGUAUUGACGGUAUUUAACCAGAAAGCCACGGCUAACUACGUGCCAGCAGCCGCGGUAAUACGUAGGUGGCAAGCGUUGUCCGGAUUUAUUGGGCGUAAAGCGAGCGCAGGCGGUUUUUUAAGUCUGAUGUGAAAGCCUUCGGCUCAACCGAAGAAGUGCAUCGGAAACUGGGAAACUUGAGUGCAGAAGAGGACAGUGGAACUCCAUGUGUAGCGGUGAAAUGCGUAGAUAUAUGGAAGAACACCAGUGGCGAAGGCGGCUGUCUGGUCUGUAACUGACGCUGAGGCUCGAAAGUAUGGGUAGCAAACAGGAUUAGAUACCCUGGUAGUCCAUACCGUAAACGAUGAAUGCUAAGUGUUGGAGGGUUUCCGCCCUUCAGUGCUGCAGCUAACGCAUUAAGCAUUCCGCCUGGGGAGUACGGCCGCAAGGCUGAAACUCAAAGGAAUUGACGGGGGCCCGCACAAGCGGUGGAGCAUGUGGUUUAAUUCGAAGCUACGCGAAGAACCUUACCAGGUCUUGACAUACUAUGCAAAUCUAAGAGAUUAGACGUUCCCUUCGGGGACAUGGAUACAGGUGGUGCAUGGUUGUCGUCAGCUCGUGUCGUGAGAUGUUGGGUUAAGUCCCGCAACGAGCGCAACCCUUAUUAUCAGUUGCCAGCAUUAAGUUGGGCACUCUGGUGAGACUGCCGGUGACAAACCGGAGGAAGGUGGGGAUGACGUCAAAUCAUCAUGCCCCUUAUGACCUGGGCUACACACGUGCUACAAUGGAUGGUACAACGAGUUGCGAACUCGCGAGAGUAAGCUAAUCUCUUAAAGCCAUUCUCAGUUCGGAUUGUAGGCUGCAACUCGCCUACAUGAAGUCGGAAUCGCUAGUAAUCGCGGAUCAGCAUGCCGCGGUGAAUACGUUCCCGGGCCUUGUACACACCGCCCGUCACACCAUGAGAGUUUGUAACACCCAAAGUCGGUGGGGUAACCUUUUAGGAACCAGCCGCCUAA
RNAcentral lists this ribosomal RNA (1437 nucleotides) under Lactiplantibacillus pentosus. RNAcentral's name for it is "bacterial SSU rRNA". It matches the Rfam family "Bacterial small subunit ribosomal RNA". RNAcentral also lists the same sequence under 1 other name. The record is from RNAcentral. Lineage: Bacteria; Bacillati; Bacillota; Bacilli; Lactobacillales; Lactobacillaceae.